GACGUAGGGCGCAAGCGUUGUCCGGAUUUAUUGGGCGUAAAGAGCUCGUAGGCGGCUUGUUGCGUCGGCUGUGAAAACCCGCGGCUUAACUGUGGGCUUGCAGCCGAUACGGGCGGGCUGGAGUUCGGUAGGGGAGACUGGAAUUCCUGGUGUAGCGGUGAAAUGCGCAGAUAUCAGGAGGAACACCGGUGGCGAAGGCGGAUCUCUGGGCCGAUACUGACGCUGAGGAGCGAAAGCGUGGGGAGCGAACAGG
This 253-nucleotide ribosomal RNA is filed under the name uncultured bacterium. RNAcentral's name for it is "partial 16S ribosomal RNA". It matches the Rfam family "Bacterial small subunit ribosomal RNA", at positions 524 to 776 of the family's 1533-position model. The record is from RNAcentral.